This 668-nucleotide ribosomal RNA is filed under the name uncultured bacterium. Its description in RNAcentral is "bacterial SSU rRNA". It matches the Rfam family "Bacterial small subunit ribosomal RNA", at positions 8 to 671 of the family's 1533-position model. The record is from RNAcentral.
AGAGUUUGAUCAUGGCUCAGAUUGAACGCUGGCGGCAUGCCUUACACAUGCAAGUCGAACGGCAGCGCGGGCUUCGGCCUGGCGGCGAGUGGCGAACGGGUGAGUAAUACAUCGGAACGUGCCCUGUUGUGGGGGAUAACUAGUCGAAAGAUUAGCUAAUACCGCAUACGACCUGAGGGUGAAAGCGGGGGACCGCAAGGCCUCGCGCAAUAGGAGCGGCCGAUGUCUGAUUAGCUAGUUGGUGGGGUAAAGGCCUACCAAGGCGACGAUCAGUAGCUGGUCUGAGAGGACGAUCGGCCACACUGGGACUGAGACACGGCCCAGACUCCUACGGGAGGCAGCAGUGGGGAAUUUUGGACAAUGGGGGCAACCCUGAUCCAGCAAUGCCGCGUGUGUGAAGAAGGCCUUCGGGUUGUAAAGCACUUUUGUCCGGAAAGAAAUCGCGCUGGCUAAUACCUGGCGUGGAUGACGGUACCGGAAGAAUAAGCACCGGCUAACUACGUGCCAGCAGCCGCGGUAAUACGUAGGGUGCGAGCGUUAAUCGGAAUUACUGGGCGUAAAGCGUGCGCAGGCGGUUUUGUAAGACAGGCGUGAAAUCCCCGAGCUCAACUUGGGAAUGGCGCUUGUGACUGCAAGGCUAGAGUAUGUCAGAGGGGGGUAGAAUUCCA